This 392-nucleotide transfer-messenger RNA is filed under the name bacterium. It matches the Rfam family "transfer-messenger RNA". Rfam says of the family: Bacterial tmRNA, also known as 10Sa RNA or SsrA, is named for its dual tRNA and mRNA-like properties. RNAcentral also lists the same sequence under 1 other name. The record is from RNAcentral.
GGGGGCGUAACGGUUUCGACGGAGACUGUUUGUGGGAGUGGUUGCAAGCCGAGGCGCACGGACCUCGAAAACCCCGUGCAACUGCAAAAUUAACUGCAGACACAGAACUCGCUCUCGCUGCCUAAUUUAAGGUAGCGCGCUCCCUCUGGUGGUGUCUGCCUGCCGGAGUGUGGGCGUCGACAAGCAGACUCGCCGCUCGAUGUGGCCCGCAUCGAGUGGUCAGAAUUUAUGGGCUGGCCCUUUCAGAACGUUUGCCAAAAGAUGUUCUGAGGUGGGGCGAGACAGGUUGUUCUCCUCCUUUGAGCGGGACAACCGAAACAUUUUGGCUAAGCUUGUAGAGACCACUCUGGCAAAGUCUUCGGACGUGGGUUCGACUCCCACCGCCUCCACCA